RNAcentral lists this long non-coding RNA (233 nucleotides) under Nicotiana benthamiana. RNAcentral describes it as "long non-coding RNA (NBEN_LNC035237)". Lineage: Eukaryota; Viridiplantae; Streptophyta; Magnoliopsida; Solanales; Solanaceae. The record is from RNAcentral.
UGAGGUAAUCAUAAUACCGGAACUGCCAGAACCCUGGUUUCUAGACCCGAAAGCAUCUAGUACCAAAGACAUCUUUGGAUUAUCAAUUGAAAACUCGCUGAAACAGAAACAGAGAACUGACAACUGGCGCUGCCGGAAAACCGGAACACUGUAGCUGCCGGAAAAAUUCAAAGUUGUCGGAAUUGAAAAAUAAAAAUAUGGAUAGGCUCGGAAUUCAAGGUUGAGCAAACUGU